AUCCAACUGAUGAGUCCCACCUAGGGCGAAAAGCGCGUUCUGGAU
Schistosoma curassoni is the source of this 45-nucleotide non-coding RNA. The record is from Rfam. NCBI's taxonomy places the organism in Eukaryota, Metazoa, Platyhelminthes, Trematoda, Strigeidida, Schistosomatidae.